CACUACCUCUCUAUCCGUGUCUCUCUCUCUCUCUCGGAUUUGUAUAGCUAUCUACUACACUCUCUCUGUUCAUGUCUUCUCCCUCCUCGCCUCUCUCCUCUCUUUCCUUUGCUCUAGCAUCACUAUGGUUCAUUACAGUUAAAGACCGAAGGCACUAAGAAGAUUGUCCAUCCAGUAUUUUUGCUGAAGAUAUUUCUUCCUCAGGCAUCAUGGUUUUAGCUUCUGCUUCGAGCCAAAGUCACAUGGGGGGCUGGCAGAUGAUGGAAGAUGGUGAACACAACUAUUCCAUAGUCUUCAAUUUCGAGAAGCUCUUUGAUGAACCCUCUUUCAUGGAGUACAUGCUCAAGAAUUGGACCAAUUGCUUUAUUUAUUCAGUCAUCUACAUAGUUCUCAUCUUUGGUGGACAGUGUUGGAUGAAAGCCAGAAACAGAUUCGACCUCCGGCCUGCUUUGGCUGUGUGGAGUGGAACAUUGGCUCUGUUCAGCAUUGCAGGUGCCAUUCGUACAUUGCCGGAGCUGAUUUCAACGAUCCGAAACCGUAGCCUACAAUAUUCCAUCUGUGUACCAACAUACUUCCGUGGUGUAACUAGCUUCUGGGCAUAUAUGUUCACUGUAUCGAAGGUGUUUGAGCUGGGUGAUACACUGUUCAUAGUCCUCCGGAAACAGCAGUUGAUAUUCCUGCACUGGUACCAUCACAUUGCCACAUUGAUCUACGUCUGGUAUAGCUACACUGACCAUACAGCCCCUGGACGAUGGUUCAUGGUUAUGAACUAUAUUGUACAUUCUAUCAUGUAUACAUAUUAUGCUUUGCGAGCAAUGCGCAUCUAUCUUCCAGUGGUGGUUAACAUGACUGUCACAUCCCUGCAGAUUUUACAAAUGGUCGUUGGGUGCCUCAUAAACUACUGGUCAUUCCAAAUCAAAACACGAGGGGAGUACUGCAACCAGAGUUACGAUAAUAUAAAAUACUCAACUCUUAUGUAUUGUAGUUAUUUCUUCCUCUUUGCUCAUUUUUUCUACAAUGCAUAUAUUAGGAAACAGAAGCUUAUGAAAAAGGUUUCUUGAAAAAAAUGAACGUCAGCUCCAUCUGACAGGGUUGGAGUCAACACAUUUUUCUGAGCAUCUUUAAAAAAAAAAUUAAUUAGAAUAAUAAACUCAGAAAGAACACUCCUCACCAGUGUGUGUGUGUAUGUGUGUGUGUAUGCAGGUGGGGGUUGUGUGGUUGAGGUGGGGAGUGAAAAGGAUAAGUUAAAAGAAAAAAGAAGGGAAACUGUAACAAGAAGAAAAAAUCCAGAACAAAUUGAAUUCAUGAUUUACUCAGCCAAGAAGCAAACAAGCAAAAUAAUAGACAUGCAAGAAAACUUUGCUAAAAUUGACGAAGAUGGAAAUAAUAAUUUUGACAUUACUUCAUCAGCUCUUACAAUGAAAUCCAUUUUUGUUUCUGCCUCUCUCUUUUUUGUUUCGUUUCUGCCCCCUCAUAUUAUUUAAAAUUAUUUUAAUCGUCUGAAGAAUUAAAUUUUCUGCUACCUUUAAAUAUAUAAAAACAAAGAAAACAA
RNAcentral lists this unclassified non-coding RNA (1552 nucleotides) under Octopus sinensis (East Asian common octopus). RNAcentral's name for it is "elongation of very long chain fatty acids protein 6- like, transcript variant X4". Lineage: Eukaryota; Metazoa; Mollusca; Cephalopoda; Octopoda; Octopodidae. The record is from RNAcentral.